ACCUGGUCAGCUCAGUUGGUAGAGCGCUCCACUGAAAAUGAAGAGGUCCCUUUUUCGGUUCCAGGACCAGGGG
RNAcentral lists this transfer RNA (73 nucleotides) under Ixodes scapularis (black-legged tick). It matches the Rfam family "tRNA". Rfam says of the family: Transfer RNA (tRNA) molecules are approximately 80 nucleotides in length. Their secondary structure includes four short double-helical elements and three loops (D, anti-codon, and T loops). Lineage: Eukaryota; Metazoa; Arthropoda; Arachnida; Ixodida; Ixodidae. The record is from Rfam by way of RNAcentral.